Molecule: ribosomal RNA, 820 nt
Filed under: Bacillus subtilis
Lineage: Bacteria; Bacillati; Bacillota; Bacilli; Caryophanales; Bacillaceae
Description: bacterial SSU rRNA
Rfam family: Bacterial small subunit ribosomal RNA
Source: RNAcentral
GACAGAUGGGAGCUUGCUCCCUGAUGUUAGCGGCGGACGGGUGAGUAACACGUGGGUAACCUGCCUGUAAGACUGGGAUAACUCCGGGAAACCGGGGCUAAUACCGGAUGGUUGUUUGAACCGCAUGGUUCAAACAUAAAAGGUGGCUUCGGCUACCACUUACAGAUGGACCCGCGGCGCAUUAGCUAGUUGGUGAGGUAACGGCUCACCAAGGCAACGAUGCGUAGCCGACCUGAGAGGGUGAUCGGCCACACUGGGACUGAGACACGGCCCAGACUCCUACGGGAGGCAGCAGUAGGGAAUCUUCCGCAAUGGACGAAAGUCUGACGGAGCAACGCCGCGUGAGUGAUGAAGGUUUUCGGAUCGUAAAGCUCUGUUGUUAGGGAAGAACAAGUACCGUUCGAAUAGGGCGGUACCUUGACGGUACCUAACCAGAAAGCCACGGCUAACUACGUGCCAGCAGCCGCGGUAAUACGUAGGUGGCAAGCGUUGUCCGGAAUUAUUGGGCGUAAAGGGCUCGCAGGCGGUUUCUUAAGUCUGAUGUGAAAGCCCCCGGCUCAACCGGGGAGGGUCAUUGGAAACUGGGGAACUUGAGUGCAGAAGAGGAGAGUGGAAUUCCACGUGUAGCGGUGAAAUGCGUAGAGAUGUGGAGGAACACCAGUGGCGAAGGCGACUCUCUGGUCUGUAACUGACGCUGAGGAGCGAAAGCGUGGGGAGCGAACAGGAUUAGAUACCCUGGUAGUCCACGCCGUAACGAUGAGUGCUAAGUGUUAGGGGGUUUCCGCCCCUUAGUGCUGCAGCUAACGCAUUAAGCACUCCG